GGCAGAGGUUGCAUACGUAGGCAGGCAGAUGGCAAAAUAUCCUGAGUAAAUGCCUAGAUAAACUGGGAAGGUGGUGCAUGGUCUGGAGCCAGCUAUCAGAAUCCAAAAAGUGGCUAAUCCAAAGAACCACAUGGUGGGGGUAAUGUUCUCCACAUAUCUCACUUACUCAAGCAUUUUUUUUAAACAUGUGAAAAUAAGAUGCAUGGAGAUGUGAUUACAGUAGUGCACAGAACACAAUGUAUUCUUCAGAACCUGGAUCUUUUGAUCUUUACCAAGCAAAUACCUACAAGAGUGAUUCUGACUCAAAGAACAGAUAAGCAUCAUUUUGCUAAAGGAAAAAAGUACUGUGGCUGCUGGCUGGUAUGCGCUGGAGAAAAAAAGGAAAACCAAAUACUUAUAACAAAUGUGCAUAGUUAAAGCAAGAUCUGCCCACUGGCUAUGUCAAAAAAGUAUGUGUCAUUCUUCAUCUUGAGUCAAUCAACUCUAUUUAAAAGCAGAGAGAUCUGGAUAUUCUGCUGAGGAAGCAGCUACUUGUUCUCCAGUGAAUAAUCAAGUAGACUCUCAGAUGCUGUCAUGUAGAAGAACAUUCAUGGCAAAGAGUUGGAAACUGAGGAAAUGUUCAUCAGUUGG
Non-coding RNA from Phascolarctos cinereus (koala), 630 nucleotides. The record is from RefSeq and is a predicted model, not a curated record. NCBI's taxonomy places the organism in Eukaryota, Metazoa, Chordata, Mammalia, Diprotodontia, Phascolarctidae.